RNAcentral lists this ribosomal RNA (319 nucleotides) under uncultured Prevotella sp. RNAcentral describes it as "partial 16S ribosomal RNA". The record is from RNAcentral. Lineage: Bacteria; Pseudomonadati; Bacteroidota; Bacteroidia; Bacteroidales; Prevotellaceae.
GGAGUCUGGACCGUGUCUCAGUUCCAGUGUGGGGGACCUUCCUCUCAGAACCCCUACCGAUCGUAGCCACGGUGGGCCGUCACCCCGCCGUCAAGCUAAUCGGACGCAUCCCCAUCCCAUGGCGUCAAACUUUAGUGCUCCUCAGAUGUCCUCAAUGCACAACAUAGGGUGUUAAUCCGCAUUUCUACGGGCUAUGCCCUACCAGGGGGAAGGUUGGAUACGCGUUACUCACCCGUGCGCCGGUCGCCAUCGGCCUUAGCAAGCUAAGACCAUGCUGCCCCACGACUUGCAUGUGUUAAGCCUGUAGCUAGCGUUCAUC